CCUCGCCACCGCUCCCUCGAAGGCCGCCCCCCGCUCCACCCCCAGCACUGGGCGCCCGCGCCUCCCAACUCAGCCCGCCGCCGAGCAGACGGCGCGCCGCGAGAGGGAGCUUGAGCUCUUGAGAAAGACAUGAAGGCCCUUGCCGCUGUCGGCAUCACUCCUUCCUCCCUAAUCCGGUCAGUUAAUUGCUGAGUGCUCGCUUCCUGAUCUGCGUGAUGGCCUCGGAACCGGGCUGCGUGUAGACCUGGGUGACUAUCAGCUCAGCUCCCAAGUGGAGGGCCUCGGAAGACGCUCUGUGCGGCCUACUAACAAGCACGAGACUACUGUGACCUGCUCCGUGCAACACAAUUAGAGGGUCAUUGAUAAUCGGAACCUAUCAAGAAGAGGACGCUGAAAGAAUACUGUAUUAUGUUGAAUGAGGAAUUGAAGGGAAGGAAGGCAUUUAGCAGACUGGAAAAAAACAGCAAGAGGACCCUAAACCUGUCUGAAUUUGCAAGGGUUUAAUAUUAAAAAGGUGACGGUACUUAUUUUAUGUGACUAUAUAUUGUAUGCCCCCACCCCCCCAAAAGCAGAAAUAAGACAAACGGGUAGAAGCUUUAGGAUGGCAGAUUCACAGCAGUUUAAUACGAGAAAGAACUUCUAACAGAACUGGUUGGAAAGGGAACAGGUUGUUUUUUUGUGUAUUAAUGGUGGAAAUCACAGGGAAUUUUCAAAAUGGAUGACCUUUGUGGUAAUGGUGGAGUUUGAAUUCAGUAAGGGUUGAAUUAGAUGACUUUCAAGAUCCUUCCAUUUCUAAAAGUUAUGAUUCUGUGACCCAGAAAGCCUAAUAGUUCUCCGACACCAGAAAGCAUGAAAGCUGGAAACCAGAUUAAAAAAAGAGCAGUCAGCCAAACAGUCAGAAGGUAGGUCAGGUGUACAGUAACAAAUUUAAGAUCUGAUUAUCUUUCAGUCUACCUAUCAUCAUUUAACUCUGGUAGACCAUGAAGUACAACACUCUCAGUGACUUACCACAUCCAUAGGUGCUCUGACUUAUUACAGAUAAAGAUAUCCAUUAUGCAUAAUUAGCUUCUUUAUCUGACUCAAAUCUGAAGCUAAAGAUUAUUCUGGACAUGAUUUCCUGGAUAGAUGGCCAGCUAAGUUGUGUUUCAGAUAGGAGGAUCACUUAAUUAACUAGGCAACACAGGUAUUUUAGUAUAUUAAUCACUUCCCUAGGUAGGCAAGUUCUAAAUCACCCUUUUCUCCUAUAUGAGGACACAUGGAGCUACUGUUUUCUGUUCCCGUGUUACUCUUUAAUCUCUGUCAGUGUUGUACUUUUGAACUUCCACUUUGUAACACUGCACUACACUAAACACUAUAUGUAGCAAGCAUUCUAUACGUUUGUAGAAGAUUUUAGUAAAUAUGUACUUUCAAAUGCUAUAUAACACAUCUGCAACUUGUUUUGCAAACUGGGGGUCUGAAGUCUUUGGACAAGUCUGCAUUCCACCACCUGCCAUAUGUGCUCCUUAACCUGGCUUCCAAUCUCAAAGCUGCAUUCACUUAUUUUAAAUCUUGAGGAGCAGGAUAGGUGUUGACAAUGUGUUACUUAGAAUGUUCCAAGUAUUCCCUAAUCUCUGGGUCAUUCCUGUCAAAACAGGAGUGUGACUACACAGUGACCAGGAUGCAAGCUGAUGAUAUUUUUGCUUCUAAUCUGAGAAAAGAAAUUGCUUUUGUGCAGACUGGUAUCUCUAGGGUGACUUUGUUCUAAAUGCUAAUAUCUUAUUCUAAAUAUCAUCAAUUGUCAAAUAUCUUUGAAAUAAAAUUCUGCAAAAAAAGUACACACUUCAGAAUUUCUGAAU
Homo sapiens (human) is the source of this 1835-nucleotide long non-coding RNA. NCBI's taxonomy places the organism in Eukaryota, Metazoa, Chordata, Mammalia, Primates, Hominidae. The record is from Ensembl.